This 725-nucleotide ribosomal RNA is filed under the name Stenotrophomonas hibiscicola. RNAcentral describes it as "bacterial SSU rRNA". It matches the Rfam family "Bacterial small subunit ribosomal RNA", at positions 45 to 759 of the family's 1533-position model. The record is from RNAcentral. Lineage: Bacteria; Pseudomonadati; Pseudomonadota; Gammaproteobacteria; Lysobacterales; Lysobacteraceae.
GGCCUAACACAUGCAAGUCGAACGGCAGCACAGAGGAGCUUGCUCCUUGGGUGGCGAGUGGCGGACGGGUGAGGAAUACAUCGGAAUCUACUCUGUCGUGGGGGAUAACGUAGGGAAACUUACGCUAAUACCGCAUACGACCUACGGGUGAAAGCAGGGGAUCUUCGGACCUUGCGCGAUUGAAUGAGCCGAUGUCGGAUUAGCUAGUUGGCGGGGUAAAGGCCCACCAAGGCGACGAUCCGUAGCUGGUCUGAGAGGAUGAUCAGCCACACUGGAACUGAGACACGGUCCAGACUCCUACGGGAGGCAGCAGUGGGGAAUAUUGGACAAUGGGCGCAAGCCUGAUCCAGCCAUACCGCGUGGGUGAAGAAGGCCUUCGGGUUGUAAAGCCCUUUUGUUGGGAAAGAAAUCCAUCUGGUUAAUACCCGGGUGGGAUGACGGUACCCAAAGAAUAAGCACCGGCUAACUUCGUGCCAGCAGCCGCGGUAAUACGAAGGGUGCAAGCGUUACUCGGAAUUACUGGGCGUAAAGCGUGCGUAGGUGGUCGUUUAAGUCCGUUGUGAAAGCCCUGGGCUCAACCUGGGAACUGCAGUGGAUACUGGGCGACUAGAAUGUGGUAGAGGGUAGCGGAAUUCCUGGUGUAGCAGUGAAAUGCGUAGAGAUCAGGAGGAACAUCCAUGGCGAAGGCAGCUACCUGGACCAACAUUGACACUGAGGCACGAAAG